Molecule: ribosomal RNA, 253 nt
Filed under: uncultured bacterium
Lineage: Bacteria
Description: partial 16S ribosomal RNA
Rfam family: Bacterial small subunit ribosomal RNA
Source: RNAcentral
UACGUAGGGGGCAAGCGUUGUCCGGAAUCAUUGGGCGUAAAGAGCGUGUAGGCGGCCCGAUAAGUCCGCUGUGAAAGUCCAGGGCUCAACCCUGGAAUGCCGGUGGAUACUGUCGGGCUCGAAUCCGGAAGAGGUGAGUGGAAUUCCUGGUGUAGCGGUGAAAUGCGCAGAUAUCAGGAGGAACACCCGUAGCGAAGGCGGCACUCUGGGCCGAUACUGACACUGAGGAGCGAAAGCGUGGGGAGCGAACGGG